This 614-nucleotide long non-coding RNA is filed under the name Triticum aestivum (bread wheat). Its description in RNAcentral is "long non-coding RNA (TAES_LNC007484)". The record is from RNAcentral. Lineage: Eukaryota; Viridiplantae; Streptophyta; Magnoliopsida; Poales; Poaceae.
GGAGUUCAUUAUGGCACCGUACAACCACCAAUUAAUAGAGAACAUGGGGGAAGGGAAAGGAGAUGAUGCAGCCGGCGCUAUGUCGAACCAUCGACGCGGCAGACGCAGCAUACAAAUGCCCUGUAGGUGGCCGGACCUGGGGAUCUCCAUCAAGGUCGACAACGAGUUGUAGUACUGUGUCCAGCCAACAACUCCUUUUGCUUCUCAGGUUCAAUCCGCACUUCCCUUUGUCAGUCUGAAUGCGCCCUUGUUGAUUGCUAUCUGGCAUUGGCAAUGUAUUCCAACUGUUUGAUGGUUUGAGCUUGCCAUAACUUCAAUUCUAUAAAAGAGUUACCCUCAGGAAUUUGUUUAUUAGCCACCAAUACCGCAAAAACUACAGAAGAAUGUUAUUACUGCUAAUGGAUAGAUGCACUGCAGAAAUAUGAAUAGUUUUGGUCAAAAGAAUGCAGACUGCACUUUCUUAUUAGUCUAUCACCCUCACGGUUGCUAAUGAUAUUUGUUUUGCCACCACUUUUUGUGUAACUAGGGGAGGACACUGGUCGUUUGGUUAAAAAAAGGAGUGUGGGAACUCGUCAUCCUUUCUCAAACAUUCUCACUCAGUCAAGUGCCAAGGU